GACGAACGCUGGCGGCGUGCUUAACACAUGCAAGUCGAACGGAAAGGCCCUGCUUUUGCGGGGUGCUCGAGUGGCGAACGGGUGUGUAACACGUGAGUAUCCUGCCCUUGACUUUGGGAUAACUUCAGGAAACUGGGGCUAAUACCGGAUAGGAGCUCCUGCUGCAUGGGGGGGGUUGGAAAGUUUCGGCGGUUGGGGAUGGACUCGCGGCUUAUCAGCUUGUUGGUGGGGUAGUGGCUUACCAAGGCUUUGACGGGUAGCCGGCCUGAGAGGGUGGCCGGCCACCUUGGGACUGAGAUACGGCCCAGAGUCGUACGGGGGGCAGCAGUGGGGAAUAUUGCACAAUGGGCGGAAGCAUGAUGCAGCGACGCCGCGUGCGGGAUGACGGCCUUCGGGUUAUAAACCGCUUUCGCCUGUGACGAAGCGUGAGUGACGGUAAUGGGUAAAGAAGCACCGGCUAACUACGUG
Molecule: ribosomal RNA, 468 nt
Filed under: uncultured bacterium
Lineage: Bacteria
Description: partial 16S ribosomal RNA
Rfam family: Bacterial small subunit ribosomal RNA
Source: RNAcentral